GACGAACGCUGGCGGCGUGCCUAAUACAUGCAAGUAGAACGCUGAAGGAGGAGCUUGCUUCUCUGGAUGAGUUGCGAACGGGUGAGUAACGCGUAGGUAACCUGCCUGGUAGCGGGGGAUAACUAUUGGAAACGAUAGCUAAUACCGCAUAAUAGUAGAUGUUGCAUGACAUUUGCUUAAAAGGUGCAAUUGCAUCACUACCAGAUGGUCCUGCGGUGUAUUAGCUAGUUGGUGGGGUAACGGCUCACCAAGGCGACGAUACAUAGUCGACCCGAGAGGGUGGUCCGCCACCCUUGGACUGAGACACGGCCCAGACUCCUACGGGAGGGAGCAGGAGGGGAAUCUCGGGAAUGGGCGGAAGGCUGAACGAGGAACGCCGGGUGAGGUAAGAAGGUUCUCGGGUCGUAAAGAUCUGUUGUAUGGGAAGAAAGAGAGUUAGAGUGGAAAGUUCACACUGUGACGGUAUCUUACCAGAAAGCGACGGCUAACUACGUG
Molecule: ribosomal RNA, 495 nt
Filed under: uncultured bacterium
Lineage: Bacteria
Description: partial 16S ribosomal RNA
Rfam family: Bacterial small subunit ribosomal RNA
Source: RNAcentral